RNAcentral lists this ribosomal RNA (627 nucleotides) under uncultured Sebacinaceae. Its description in RNAcentral is "eukaryotic LSU rRNA". The stretch from base 215 to 368 matches the Rfam family "5.8S ribosomal RNA". Lineage: Eukaryota; Fungi; Basidiomycota; Agaricomycetes; Sebacinales; Sebacinaceae. The record is from RNAcentral.
AAAGUCGUAACAAGGUUUCCGUAGGUGAACCUGCGGAAGGAUCAUUAUUGAUUGUGAAUCGUUGCCUCCAGUGCUGGCUCUCGCAAGUGCACGGUUGGUGACUUUCAUCCAACACCCUGUGAACCUUUGGCCUCUUGCUAGCUUCGGCUGGCAGAGGAUUUUUACACACACUCGAAUGUAAUGAAAUUAUUGUCGUGCGCAAGCACUUAUGUACAACUUUCAACAACGGAUCUCUUGGCUCUCGCAUCGAUGAAGAACGCAGCGAAAUGCGAUAAGUAAUGUGAAUUGCAGAAUUCAGUGAAUCAUCGAAUCUUUGAACGCACCUUGCACCCUUUGGCAUUCCGAAGGGUAUGCUCGUUUGAGUGUCAUUGUACUCUCACACUUCUGAUCCUUUGGAUUUGGAGCGGUGGACUUGGGUGUUGCCACUUGACAGUGGCUCACCUCUAAUGCAUUAGUGCAACUCCUGGUUGGACCAUAGUACGGCGUGAUAAGUGUCUUCGCCGGCACCUCGUGAGAGGGUGGCCGAUCGAGAGCUCUGUGCUUUCAAACCGUCCUUGCAAGGACAAUGACUGACAACUUGACCUCAAAUCGAGUAGGACUACCCGCUGAACUUAAGCAUAUCAAUAA